This 506-nucleotide ribosomal RNA is filed under the name uncultured bacterium. Its description in RNAcentral is "partial 16S ribosomal RNA". It matches the Rfam family "Bacterial small subunit ribosomal RNA", at positions 30 to 523 of the family's 1533-position model. The record is from RNAcentral.
AUUGAACGCUGGCGGCAUGCCUUACACAUGCAAGUCGAACGGCAGCAUGGAAGAGCUUGCUCUUCUGAUGGCGAGUGGCGAACGGGUGAGUAAAGCAUCGGAACGUACCGUGUAAUGGGGGAUAAUGUAGCGAAAGUUACGCUAAUACCGCAUACGACCUGAGGGUGAAAGCAGGGGAUCGCAAGACCUUGCGUUAUACGAGCGGCCGAUGUCAGAUUAGCUAGUUGGUAGGGUAAAGGCCUACCAAGGCGACGAUCUGUAGCGGGUCUGAGAGGAUGAUCCGCCACACUGGGACUGAGACACGGCCCAGACUCCUGCGGGAGGCAGCAGUGGGGAAUUUUGGACAAUGGGGGACACCCUGAUCCAGCCAUGCCGUGUGAGUGAAGAAGGCCUUCGGGUUGUAAAGCUCUUUCGGCCGGGAAGAAAUCGCACAGGCUAAUACUCUGUGUGGAUGACGGUACCGGCAUAAGAAGCACCGGCUAACUACGUGCCAGCAGCCGCGGUAA